ACGGCGUCGGCUGCUCAGUGGAGGAGAUUCGAACCCGGAGCUCAGUCCGUCCCUUGCCCUCUCCCCUAAGAUUUCAAGAGUACGUCAGUGUUCGUCUCUCCGUGGAGGAAACCGGGACAGGAAGCUCCGUCCGUCCUUUCUCUCCCUAAAUGGUGGUGCAGCAGUGUGCUGGGAGAAUAACUACUCGCCUACAGACUCUUCUCCUGUUCUCCUGUGUUUGGUCCUGAUGAAAGGGACGGUCGUCGGGUGGUCCAGACGUGGUCGUGAGCUGCAGCCCUUGGCGCUGACUGUAGAUGUCCAUCGCUCUACAGAUGCCACAUUAAAGCUCCUGAGUUCAAGCCAUGAUGAUGCCAAAGCUGUCUGAGACGAGUCCAACACUGACAUUUCAGGAUGUGGAAUCUGAUUUAUGUGGCCACUGAUGCUACAUGAACUUUAGAUCAAUGCAAAAGACGAUUAAAAACCUUUAUCACCUCAGUACUGAGCCCUUAA
Trichomycterus rosablanca is the source of this 489-nucleotide long non-coding RNA. RefSeq lists it as uncharacterized. The record is from RefSeq and is a predicted model, not a curated record. NCBI's taxonomy places the organism in Eukaryota, Metazoa, Chordata, Actinopteri, Siluriformes, Trichomycteridae. The transcript has 3 exons.